UCAUCAGCAAGAUUAAUGAGACCUGGUGUCUGAAACUGUGGAUUCCAUUUUGCAGCCACUAUUUCCUCUGCACUCUUCCCCACCCCCUCACAUCUAUUUUUUCUUUUUUCCUUUUUUGAUAAAAUAAGAUUGUUCGUUUAUUACCUAAGUAUUAUGAAAUGCCAGAGGCUGAGGCUCUGAAGCCUGAACAGUUCAAAUAUCAACUCAUAUUUAAUUUUGAGAUGAUCCGGGCAUUGCUGUAUUGUGUGAGCCAUCAGAGGCAGCGGUACUUCUUUUUUCUUCCUUGGAGGACUGUACCAAACCCAUUUCACCAGGAGCAUGUCAUCUCAGGAGGCCUGGUUGUGAGCCUGGUUCCUUUGAACACCGCGAAUCCAGGAGGUUCAGCAGGCAAUGCAGUGUUUACAAAACAAGACUUUAUGCUGUACAGAAUGGGAGUAAAUGCCCGUAAGCUGUCGCAGAAGAGGAACAUGCUGUACCAACCUGCUCACCACACAGGUCUGAUUUACAAAAGCACUUCAUCGCUGACCUAA
RNAcentral lists this long non-coding RNA (530 nucleotides) under Coturnix japonica (Japanese quail). RNAcentral's name for it is "lncRNA (ENSCJPG00005000387.1)". Lineage: Eukaryota; Metazoa; Chordata; Aves; Galliformes; Phasianidae. The record is from RNAcentral.